RNAcentral lists this ribosomal RNA (759 nucleotides) under Vibrio sp. a90. RNAcentral's name for it is "bacterial SSU rRNA". It matches the Rfam family "Bacterial small subunit ribosomal RNA", at positions 309 to 1061 of the family's 1533-position model. Lineage: Bacteria; Pseudomonadati; Pseudomonadota; Gammaproteobacteria; Vibrionales; Vibrionaceae. The record is from RNAcentral.
CACACUGGACUGAGACACGGUCCAGACUCCUACGGGAGGCAGCAGUGGGGAAUAUUGCACAAUGGGCGAAAGCCUGAUGCAGCCAUGCCGCGUGUAUGAAGAAGGCCUUCGGGUUGUAAAGUACUUUCAGUUGUGAGGAAGGGGGUAGCGUUAAUAGCGCUAUCUCUUGACGUUAGCAACAGAAGAAGCACCGGCUAACUCCGUGCCAGCAGCCGCGGUAAUACGGAGGGUGCGAGCGUUAAUCGGAAUUACUGGGCGUAAAGCGCAUGCAGGUGGUUCAUUAAGUCAGAUGUGAAAGCCCGGGGCUCAACCUCGGAACUGCAUUUGAAACUGGUGAACUAGAGUACUGUAGAGGGGGGUAGAAUUUCAGGUGUAGCGGUGAAAUGCGUAGAGAUCUGAAGGAAUACCAGUGGCGAAGGCGGCCCCCUGGACAGAUACUGACACUCAGAUGCGAAAGCGUGGGGAGCAAACAGGAUUAGAUACCCUGGUAGUCCACGCCGUAAACGAUGUCUACUUGGAGGUUGUGGCCUUGAGCCGUGGCUUUCGGAGCUAACGCGUUAAGUAGACCGCCUGGGGAGUACGGUCGCAAGAUUAAAACUCAAAUGAAUUGACGGGGGCCCGCACAAGCGGUGGAGCAUGUGGUUUAAUUCGAUGCAACGCGAAGAACCUUACCUACUCUUGACAUCCAGAGAAGCCAGCGGAGACACAGGUGUGCCUUCGGGAGCUCUGAGACAGGUGCUGCAUGGCUGUCGUCAGCUC